RNAcentral lists this ribosomal RNA (776 nucleotides) under uncultured Paracoccaceae bacterium. RNAcentral's name for it is "bacterial SSU rRNA". It matches the Rfam family "Bacterial small subunit ribosomal RNA", at positions 18 to 841 of the family's 1533-position model. Lineage: Bacteria; Pseudomonadati; Pseudomonadota; Alphaproteobacteria; Rhodobacterales; Paracoccaceae. The record is from RNAcentral.
CCUGGCUCAGAACGAACGCUGGCGGCAGGCCUAAUACAUGCAAGUCGAGCGCGCCCUUCGGGGUGAGCGGCGGACGGGUGAGUAACGCGUGGGAAUAUGCCCUUCUCUAAGGAAUAGCCUCUGGAAACGGAGAGUAAUACCUUAUACGCCCUUCGGGGGAAAGAUUUAUCGGAGAAGGAUUAGCCCGCGUUAGAUUAGGUAGUUGGUGGGGUAAUGGCCUACCAAGCCUACGAUCUAUAGCUGGUUUGAGAGGAUGAUCAGCCACACUGGGACUGAGACACGGCCCAGACUCCUACGGGAGGCAGCAGUAGGGAAUCUUAGACAAUGGGGGCAACCCUGAUCUAGCCAUGCCGCGUGUGUGAUGAAGGCCCUAGGGUCGUAAAGCACUUUCGCCAGAGAUGAUAAUGACAGUAUCUGGUAAAGAAACCCCGGCUAACUCCGUGCCAGCAGCCGCGGUAAUACGGAGGGGGUUAGCGUUGUUCGGAAUUACUGGGCGUAAAGCGCACGUAGGCGGAUUAGUAAGUUAGAGGUGAAAUCCCAGGGCUCAACCCUGGAACUGCCUUUAAUACUGCUAGUCUUGAGUUCGAGAGAGGUAAGUGGAAUUCCGAGUGUAGAGGUGAAAUUCGUAGAUAUUCGGAGGAACACCAGUGGCGAAGGCGGCUUACUGGCUCGAUACUGACGCUGAGGUGCGAAAGUGUGGGGAGCAAACAGGAUUAGAUACCCUGGUAGUCCACACCGUAAACGAUGAAUGCCAGACGUCAGCAAGUAUACUUGUU